RNAcentral lists this ribosomal RNA (497 nucleotides) under uncultured bacterium. RNAcentral describes it as "partial 16S ribosomal RNA". It matches the Rfam family "Bacterial small subunit ribosomal RNA", at positions 28 to 507 of the family's 1533-position model. The record is from RNAcentral.
GAUGAACGCUGGCGGCGUGCCUAAUACAUGCAAGUCGAGCGAACAGACGAGGAGCUUGCUUCUCUGACGUUAGCGGCGGACGGGUGAGUAACACGUGGAUAACCUACCUAUAAGACUGGGAUAACUUCGGGAAACCGGAGCUAAUACCGGAUAAUAUUUUGAACCGCAUGGUUCAAUAGUGAAAGACGGUCUUGCUGUCACUUAUAGAUGGAUCCGCGCCGCAUUAGCUAGUUGGUAAGGUAACGGCUUACCAAGGCAACGAUGCAUAGCCGACCUGAGAGGGUGAUCGGCCACACUGGAACUGAGACACGGUCCAGACUCCUACGGGAGGCAGCAGUAGGGAAUCUUCCGCAAUGGGCGAAAGCUUGACGGAGCAACGCCGCGUGAGUGAUGAAGGUCUUCGGAUCGUAAAACUCUGUUAUUAGGGAAGAACAAAUGUGUAAGUAACUAUGCACGUCUUGACGGUACCUAAUCAGAAAGCCACGGCUAACUACGUG